Vicia villosa (hairy vetch) is the source of this 182-nucleotide long non-coding RNA. RefSeq lists it as uncharacterized. NCBI's taxonomy places the organism in Eukaryota, Viridiplantae, Streptophyta, Magnoliopsida, Fabales, Fabaceae. The transcript has 3 exons. The record is from RefSeq and is a predicted model, not a curated record.
ACUCUUUAAUAAUAUGUUCGGUGGUGCGUAGAACGUGGAAGGCAUAUCAGUCUGACAAGAGAAGCUUGAUUUUGAAAACCUCCUAAGAUUGUGGAAUUUGUAGCAUUUGGAGGCAUGUGUUUCCUCAUGGGAUUUGAGGAACUAUAGCAGCAUGGACCAGACAACUAUAUACACUUUCUUAA